RNAcentral lists this ribosomal RNA (394 nucleotides) under Priestia megaterium. RNAcentral's name for it is "bacterial SSU rRNA". It matches the Rfam family "Bacterial small subunit ribosomal RNA", at positions 59 to 441 of the family's 1533-position model. The record is from RNAcentral. Lineage: Bacteria; Bacillati; Bacillota; Bacilli; Caryophanales; Bacillaceae.
AAGUCGAGCGAACUGAUUAGAAGCUUGCUUCUAUGACGUUAGCGGCGGACGGGUGAGUAACACGUGGGCAACCUGCCUGUAAGACUGGGAUAACUUCGGGAAACCGAAGCUAAUACCGGAUAGGAUCUUCUCCUUCAUGGGAGAUGAUUGAAAGAUGGUUUCGGCUAUCACUUACAGAUGGGCCCGCGGUGCAUUAGCUAGUUGGUGAGGUAACGGCUCACCAAGGCAACGAUGCAUAGCCGACCUGAGAGGGUGAUCGGCCACACUGGGACUGAGACACGGCCCAGACUCCUACGGGAGGCAGCAGUAGGGAAUCUUCCGCAAUGGACGAAAGUCUGACGGAGCAACGCCGCGUGAGUGAUGAAGGCUUUCGGGUCGUAAAACUCUGUUGUUA